This is a long non-coding RNA of Esox lucius (northern pike), 1334 nucleotides long. The record is from Ensembl. NCBI's taxonomy places the organism in Eukaryota, Metazoa, Chordata, Actinopteri, Esociformes, Esocidae.
AGAGCACAAGUACAGCCUACGCUCAGCAAAGCCACGCACGCCCUUUGAAAUUCUACCAAGAUGAACGUCGCCCCCUACAGACUCACAUCCCACAAUCUAAAGGUAAAACCUACUUCAUGCCCUCUAGAGCACCCCUGCAUGAGCAGUUAGCCAGAUACCUGAUUCGCAAAGAAAUAGUUAGCUCUCGACUACUGAAGUUUGAUGAUAAACCAGAGAACUACUGGGCCUGGAAAGCUUCCUUUGUCAACUCCACCAGUGAUCUGAACUUAACCCCCAGGGAAGAGCUAGAUUUAUUGACUAAAUGGCUGGGACCACAGUCUGCAGAGCAGGCCAAACGCAUCCGUGCGGUUCACAUCAAUAAUGCCAGCUCACUUAAAAUUAUGUGGCAGAGAUUGGAAGAAUGCUACGUUUCAGCAGAAAUGAUAGAAAACGCUCUGCUUAAAAAGUUUGAGAAGUUUCCAAAAAUAUCAAACAAGGACAAUUGUCCUCAUUCAUCAUUCUCGCGUAGAAACGGGCGUAUAUGUUGGCGUAAGAUUUUGCUUACACUCCUCUCACCGCUUGAUUUAUGAAGCUGUGCGUACCUUUAAAAUCCAGGUGUACGCAAUACCUGCCCUUGAUAAAUGCCGCGGCUGAAAACGAUCGUCAUUUGAAUAACACGCCCCUAUAUAUUUAAGUCUCCGCUUCCCCCACACCCUCAUUUUACGCCAUGGACACACGGAAGACGGCAAAAAAGAGAAACUUCUCUGACGUGGAGAUUGAGACGAUCACCAGGGAGGUAGAAAGAAAUAAAAUUGUUUUAUUUGGCAGUUUAAAAAGUGGAAUAAAAGGCGCCCACAAAAACAGAAUUUGGACCCAAAUUACGAGUGCUGUGGGGGUUGAGAAGCGCACUCCAGCAGAGGUAAGAAUGUUUUAUUGCUUAAUACAAGUUAAGCAUGAGUUUUCUUUAUUGCUUAAUAUAGACCGAUCAAGUUAAGCAUGAGUUUUCUUGUUUAUUGUAGGUGAAAAAAAAGUGGUCCGAUUCAAAGAUCGCCACAAAGAGGCGCGUCUCGGCACUAAAGAGGAACCAGAGUCAGACUGGGGGAGGCCCACCGGAUCCAAGUCUCCAGCUGACACCGAACGAGGAGCGGGUGGCAGCCCUCAUCGGAAUGGUGUCUUUGGAAGGUAUCACCGGUGGGGGAGAUACCGACGACAUUCAUGAUGAUGGCACUGCAGGCCCCAGCGCCCUCGAGGCAUCUCCCCCUCAGCCCAUCCAGGAGCCUGAGCCUAUCCUUGCGCCAGAGCCUAAGCAGGUGCAAGCGGGGGAAGCCGAGUCCCGUCCACCAGCCUCCCGUGCG